CCUUAGUCCUUCGGCAGCCGUCGUUGCGUCAUAUCAAUGGCGUCAGCGAGUCAAUAUGAUUCUCGUCGUCAUAGUAAUAUGGCGCAAACGCGUCCAAAUUUUUUUCAUAUUGACUCUUUGACGUCAUUUUGCUAAUAUGAAUGUGAAAAAUCCAUAUUUGGUUAGCCAUUGAGUUGAUAUGACAAUUUCACAGUUGGCUGUUAGCCAAUCAGAA
This is a non-coding RNA of Paramuricea clavata, 214 nucleotides long. The record is from the annotation of a GenBank genome assembly. NCBI's taxonomy places the organism in Eukaryota, Metazoa, Cnidaria, Anthozoa, Malacalcyonacea, Plexauridae.